CUUCAUUUCAAGUAAAAAGGCAAAGCACAAUUUUUCCCUUUUACAUAUGUAUUUCACAACAUCUAACACAUGGCUCCAUGCCGAAACCCUAAACUCAAAUUUUUGGAACUAUUUACUUACAUCCUACAAUCUAACCCUACAUACCUAGGAACAAACCCAUUUUGCAAACACGCCACACACAAAUCUGAAGAGCCAGAUCUUCCACACAUUUGGUCUUGUUGCUUGAAGGGUGUUGAUUUCAGCUUCCAUUUCCCUCCUAGCUCGUAAUACACCAGGAAUCAGUUCCUUUGAUCUCUCACACAUUGGAGGGUCACACUAUAUAAAGAAGGUGCAUCCACCCACAUCUUGGCUUCGAGGACAAGUGAGAAAUCUUCUUCCCGGGUUUAGGUUCGUUCACGAGAUCUUCAUCUGCAUCGGAAAAGCACAUCUGCAUACAUUCAACUCUAUGUGCGUUCUGAUUUUUUUUUUACUACCUAUGAGAGAGAAGGUAGGAGGUAAUAUGGUGGUAAAGAAAUGGAGGGAAAUAAAUGGUGAAGUAUAUAAUAUAAGGGAAAUGUGUAUAAUGCCCAUAUUGCCCUUCACUUAUUUUGAAAAAAUUCUUGAAAAUAUCAUUAGAGGGAUCAACUGACGGUUUUGAUGGUCAAACAAAUGAAAACCGUCAUUUUAGACUGGCCCUACUCAUUUUUUAAAAGUUUGGUAUCUCCGGUGGCACAAACUAAAGGUUAAGGGCAAAGUCUGCUAAUAAACGAAAGGUUUGGUAUCUCGACU
This 768-nucleotide long non-coding RNA is filed under the name Olea europaea subsp. europaea. The record is from RNAcentral. Lineage: Eukaryota; Viridiplantae; Streptophyta; Magnoliopsida; Lamiales; Oleaceae.